UACGGGGGGAGCAAGCGUUGUUCGGAUUUACUGGGCGUAAAGGGCGCGUAGGCGGCCACUGCAAGUCAGUUGUGAAAUCUCCGGGCUUAACUCGGAAAGGUCAACUGAUACUGCAGGGCUAGAGUGCGGAAGGGGCAACUGGAAUUCUCGGUGUAGCGGUGAAAUGCGUAGAUAUCGAGAGGAACACCUGCGGCGAAGGCGGGUUGCUGGGCCGACACUGACGCUGAGGCGCGAAAGCCAGGGGAGCGAACGGG
Molecule: ribosomal RNA, 254 nt
Filed under: uncultured bacterium
Lineage: Bacteria
Description: partial 16S ribosomal RNA
Rfam family: Bacterial small subunit ribosomal RNA
Source: RNAcentral